CCUACGGGGGGCAGCAGUGGGGAAUAUUGGACAAUGGGCGAAAGCCUGAUCCAGCAAUACCGCGUGAGUGAUGAAGGUCUUCGGAUUGUAAAGCUCUUUUAGUGGGGAAGAUAAUGACGGUACCCACAGAAAAAGCACCGGCAAACUUCGUGCCAGCAGCCGCGGUAAUACGAAGGGUGCUAGCGUUGUUCGGAAUCACUGGGCGUAAAGCGUGCGUAGGCGGCUUUGUAAGUCGAUUGUGAAAUCCCUGAGCUUAACUUAGGAACUGCAAUCGAAACUGCUUAGCUUGAAUAUGGUCGAGGGUAGUAGAAUUCCUAGUGUAGGGGUGAAAUCCGUAGAUAUUAGGAGGAAUACCGGUGGCGAAAGCGACUACCUAGGCCAUUAUUGACGCUGAGGCACGAAAGCGUGGGGAGCAAACAGGAUUAGAUACCCGUGUAGUC
This 440-nucleotide ribosomal RNA is filed under the name uncultured bacterium. RNAcentral's name for it is "bacterial SSU rRNA". It matches the Rfam family "Bacterial small subunit ribosomal RNA", at positions 338 to 795 of the family's 1533-position model. The record is from RNAcentral.